This 311-nucleotide unclassified non-coding RNA is filed under the name plant metagenome. RNAcentral's name for it is "partial contains 5.8S ribosomal RNA, internal transcribed spacer 2, and large subunit ribosomal RNA". The stretch from base 1 to 104 matches the Rfam family "5.8S ribosomal RNA", at positions 51 to 154 of the family's 154-position model. The record is from RNAcentral.
AAAUGCGAUAAGUAAUGUGAAUUGCAGAAUUCCGUGAAUCAUCGAAUCUUUGAACGCACAUUGCGCCCUCUGGCAUUCCGGGGGGCAUGCCUGUCCGAGCGUCAUUACGCACCCUCAAGCCCGGCUUGUGUGAUGGGCCCCGGCGUCUCGUUCGCGAGACGGGCCUGAAAGGCAGCGGCGGCGUCGACCCGAUGAGCCCGAGCGUAUGGGGACUUCUGUCACACGUUCGCGGUGCGGACCGGCGCCUGCUUGACUUUUCUGAUUAUCCAGGUUGACCUCGGAUCAGGUAGGGAUACCCGCUGAACUUAAGC